UGAAUGUCAGGAGUCAAGGCGAGCGCCGUGAACUGCAAUCCCGUCUGGAAGUCUCACCUUUCCCAGGUCCGCAGCCACAAAGCUGGGUCAAGUACCCUGGAAGUGAACUUUAUGCAGCGUGCGGUUUGACUCUGCUGUGCCAGCUGGAAUACACCUUUAGGAGCUGCAUAGUCAGGAAUGUGUUAUGGAGAACAUAAUUAGCACUGCCAAUGGACCAGCAAUGAGAUUGCAUCUCUGUGUGUGUGUGGAGAAACAAAGAAUCACUUUUGGGUAAGGAAAUAGAUUUUAGUUUCAAAUUACACAGGGACUGUUUGAAACCCGAAGGACAGGAAUUGUUAAAAUAUGAAAUGUAUUUGGUAAUAUCAUUUGAUAAUAGGGUUUUCGGUUUCUCUUUUCAUCUCUGCCAUCUUCCCUGUCUCCUCUCCCCUGCUCAUCAGUUUAGGAGAAUCACAGUGAGACACAACGUGCUGGGCAGCUCUUUUGGCCACCAGAAUUGUUGUUUAGUUGGCAUAUCAGCACUUACAUAUGUGAUUGUCAUCUUCAAAGAGGAAACCCUGGCAGGCCCUGUCCACAAGCAACGUCCCUGUUUUUGGGAGUUUCCUUCAUUCUCGUGAGGAGAGUCGCUAACAGUGAGUUACUGCCACUUGCCAGGUGGGUUUGACGAGUGGUCGAGGGCAUGGUUAGGAUUCUGUUGUC
RNAcentral lists this long non-coding RNA (696 nucleotides) under Capra hircus (goat). RNAcentral describes it as "lncRNA (ENSCHIG00000007835.1)". The record is from RNAcentral. Lineage: Eukaryota; Metazoa; Chordata; Mammalia; Artiodactyla; Bovidae.